GGCGCGGUAGCUCAGUUGGUUAGAGCGUAUGAUUCAUAAUCAUAAGGUCUCCGGUUCAAUCCCGGAUCGCGCUA
RNAcentral lists this transfer RNA (74 nucleotides) under Prevotellaceae bacterium. Its description in RNAcentral is "tRNA-Met". It matches the Rfam family "tRNA". From Rfam's summary of the family: Transfer RNA (tRNA) molecules are approximately 80 nucleotides in length. Their secondary structure includes four short double-helical elements and three loops (D, anti-codon, and T loops). Further hydrogen bonds mediate the characteristic L-shaped molecular structure. tRNAs have two regions of fundamental functional importance: the anti-codon, which is responsible for specific mRNA codon recognition, and the 3' end, to which the tRNAs corresponding amino acid is attached (by aminoacyl-tRNA synthetases). tRNAs cope with the degeneracy of the genetic code in two manners: having more than one tRNA (with a specific anti-codon) for a particular amino acid; and 'wobble' base-pairing, i.e. permitting non-standard base-pairing at the 3rd anti-codon position. The record is from RNAcentral. Lineage: Bacteria; Pseudomonadati; Bacteroidota; Bacteroidia; Bacteroidales; Prevotellaceae.